This 402-nucleotide ribosomal RNA is filed under the name uncultured bacterium. RNAcentral's name for it is "bacterial SSU rRNA". It matches the Rfam family "Bacterial small subunit ribosomal RNA", at positions 359 to 776 of the family's 1533-position model. The record is from RNAcentral.
GAAUUUUCCGCAAUGGGCGAAAGCCUGACGGAGCAACGCCGCGUGAGGGAGGAAGGCCUUAGGGUUGUAAACCUCUUUUCUCUGGGAAGAAUAACUGACGGUACCAGAGGAAUAAGCCUCGGCUAACUCCGUGCCAGCCGCCGCGGUAAGACGGAGGAGGCAAGCGUUAUCCGGAAUUAUUGGGCGUAAAGCGUCCGCAGGCGGCCAAUUAAGUCUGUUGUCAAAGGUCACAGCUCAACUGUGGAUCGGCAAUGGAAACUGGUUGGCUAGAGUGUGGUAGGGGUAGAGGGAACUCCCGGUGUAGCGGUGAAAUGCGUAGAUAUCGGGAAGAACACCAGUGGCGAAGGCGCUCUACUGGGCCACAACUGACGCUGAGGGACGAAAGCUAGGGGAGCGAAAGGG